UUGUAGCCAUUCUCGAUAGUCUA
RNAcentral lists this non-coding RNA (23 nucleotides) under Arabidopsis thaliana (thale cress). Lineage: Eukaryota; Viridiplantae; Streptophyta; Magnoliopsida; Brassicales; Brassicaceae. The record is from RNAcentral.